UACGUAGGGUGCGAGCGUUAAUCGGAAUUACUGGGCGUAAAGCGUGCGCAGGCGGUUCGUUGUGUCGGUGGUGAAAGCCCCGGGCUUAACCUGGGAAUGGCCAUGGAAACUGGCGAACUGGAGUGUGGCAGAGGGGGGUGGAAUUCCGCGUGUAGCAGUGAAAUGCGUAGAGAUGCGGAGGAACACCGGUGGCGAAGGCAGCCCCCUGGGCUAGCACUGACGCUCAGGCACGAAAGCGUGGGGAGCAAACAGG
This 253-nucleotide ribosomal RNA is filed under the name uncultured bacterium. RNAcentral's name for it is "partial 16S ribosomal RNA". It matches the Rfam family "Bacterial small subunit ribosomal RNA", at positions 524 to 776 of the family's 1533-position model. The record is from RNAcentral.